Molecule: ribosomal RNA, 305 nt
Filed under: uncultured bacterium
Lineage: Bacteria
Description: bacterial SSU rRNA
Rfam family: Bacterial small subunit ribosomal RNA
Source: RNAcentral
CCGGUCUUACGGGGCGCAGCAGUGGGGAAUAUUGCACAAUGGGGGAAACCCUGAUGCAGCAACGCCGCGUGAGUGAAGAAGUAUUUCGGUAUGUAAAGCUCUAUCAGCAGGAAAGAAAAUGACGGUACCUGACUAAGAAGCCCCGGCUAACUACGUGCCAGCAGCCGCGGUAAUACGUAGGGGGCAAGCGUUAUCCGGAUUUACUGGGUGUAAAGGGAGCGUAGACGGCAGCGCAAGUCUGGAGUGAAAUGCCGGGGCCCAACCCCGGAACUGCUCUGGAAACUGUGAAGCUGGAGUGCAGGAGG